This 1255-nucleotide long non-coding RNA is filed under the name Sus scrofa (pig). RNAcentral describes it as "lncRNA (ENSSSCG00050049808.1)". The record is from RNAcentral. Lineage: Eukaryota; Metazoa; Chordata; Mammalia; Artiodactyla; Suidae.
AUGCUAAUCCAGUUGCCCAAACUCAGCUACAAAGCAGGGAUCAUGGAGGCUGAGAGAGCCAGCUGCACGGCACCGAGGGUGGAGGACCAGGGAGCUCCUGUACCAAGCUUGUGCAUAGCAACCCCCAGAAUCUGUGGGAGGGAAGACAGCCCUGUGAUUACAGCUGCAGUAGGAAAUCCCUGCAAACGGAUUCUCCUGAUCAGCAGCAAUGACGAAUAUUAUCUCUCAGCAACCACGAAAGUUGUUCACCAUUGAAAAAAAUGAUUAACAACAAUAUAUGGUUCAAAUGUGGCGUAAGGGAAAUAGUGAUUUAAAGCCGACUCGUAAGUGGGAAUCGAAGUCAGCAGCAGGAUUGCAGAUUUCCCUGCUUGCAACCAAGCCGGAAAGAAAAAACUCCCACGUUCAUGAUGGCUUUGAGAAAAGAACAUAAAUCCACUGCCUGGUAAACUCUCAGGUAAGGGAUUGGUCAGCAGAUGCAGAAGCUUUUUUCGCCGGGUCAAUUCCACCGGAGGCAAGACCGUGACCGCAAACGAGAAAGGAUACGCUUGUGAAAGAUGCUUGUUGGCCAAGCCGGUCAUAAUUCAUGCUCCAGCGACACUAUGCCUGGAGGAAGGGGAAUGAAACAUUUAUGAAAAUGGCUCUUUCCCAGCCGCACAUCAUGUUCGUCAAAGGGAAGAAGGCAAAAAAAGCAGGAAUAAUUUCCCGAGAAACACCAGGCUGGUAGUGAUUUGUUUCUUUGUAUCUUUAGGACUAGAUUGCAUGUCUGAGGUUUUGGACAUGAACCCACUGAGUGCUUCAUAUCCUUGAUUUCAUUGUUUCACUGCAUCUCAAAACAUCCUCCUGAACUACCCAGGAGUGAACUUGAUCUGCAGAGAGUUGAGGUGUAGCCUGAAGCAUCCCCAACCGGAGCGAGACAUUUUCUUGCCAUGUCACUUUUAACCCUAAAAAAGAAAAAAAAAAAAGAAAAAAAAAAGAAAAAAAAAAGAAAAAAAAAAAGCAUGCACAGUUUGCAUUCUAUCCCAUGAUAUCCCCACACUUGUAGCAGUAACAAUCACCUUACUCUCCCAUUGGAAGCCCAAAAUUGAAGACACUCUCCCAGGGUGACACUAAGGCAAUUUAACAUUCUGUCAUUCUUCCUGCCACUCAUUAGGCAUUGUGAGGCCUUCUCUGAGACUCAUGGUAAUUUGAUCCAAGGAGAAGGGCACAGUAGUUCACAACAAAGAGUAGAAUCCAACUUUGGUCAGAAAAUAACGAG